UCCAGAGGCAGAAGCUUGGGUGAACCAUUUGCUAAGGCCCUGAAAACUACCUUUUUCUCUCACACAAGCAGUUGUUGUAAUCAAAUUGGCUCCAUGCCUAGAGCAGGCUGUGUGACUCAGUGACAGUUGCAAUCAGAGCAUGGAGUUGGAGACAAAGAAGUCAUAGAUCAGGAAAUCACAGUGACGAUGGCCAAUUGGGAUUGGAUGGUUUUAUAUGAGUGGAAUUCUUUUUAAAGAAUUUAAUAUCAUUCAUCAAAGACACAUUUAAUCCUGUUACUUUUGUGUGAGAUUAAAAAAAAUUGUCCUGGUGAUAUUCUGUUCAAUACUACAAUUCUGUAUCAAGGGAAAGCUUCAAGUUAAUAUGUUCAGCAUUUCCAGUGAUCUUGAUAUUUACUGAAUACAUGCUGUUGUGCCAGGCACUAUUGUGGAUGCUUUAAAAAGCAGCAGAGCAGAAGGAAAGAA
RNAcentral lists this long non-coding RNA (462 nucleotides) under Callithrix jacchus (white-tufted-ear marmoset). RNAcentral describes it as "lncRNA (ENSCJAG00000084067.1)". Lineage: Eukaryota; Metazoa; Chordata; Mammalia; Primates; Cebidae. The record is from RNAcentral.